GGUGCUGCAUGGCUGUCGUCAGCUCGUGCUGUGAAGUGUUGGGUUAAGUCCCGCAACGAGCGCAACCCUCGCUGUCUGUUGCCACCACGAGAGGUGGGGACUCAGGCGGAACUGCCGGUGACAAACCGGAGGAAGGUGGGGACGGACGUCAAGUCAUCAUGGCCCUUAUGUCCUGGGCUACACACGUGCUACAAUGGCCGGUACAGAGCGCAGCGAGGCCGCGAGGCGGAGCGAAUCGCUUAAAGCCGGUCCCAGUACGGAUUGGAGUCUGCAACCCGACUCCAUGAAGUUGGAAUCGCUAGUAAUCGCGCAUCAGCAUGGCGCGGUGAAUACGUUCCCGGGCCUU
This 346-nucleotide ribosomal RNA is filed under the name uncultured Spirochaeta sp. RNAcentral's name for it is "bacterial SSU rRNA". It matches the Rfam family "Bacterial small subunit ribosomal RNA", at positions 1037 to 1382 of the family's 1533-position model. The record is from RNAcentral. Lineage: Bacteria; Pseudomonadati; Spirochaetota; Spirochaetia; Spirochaetales; Spirochaetaceae.